Molecule: ribosomal RNA, 850 nt
Filed under: uncultured bacterium
Lineage: Bacteria
Description: bacterial SSU rRNA
Rfam family: Bacterial small subunit ribosomal RNA
Source: RNAcentral
GGGGCGUGGCGCGUGCUUACCAUGCAAGUCGAACGGACUCAUAUUGAAACCUAGUGAUGUAUGAGUUAGUGGCCCCAUAAAAGAGUAACGCGUGGAGAACCUGCCGUAUACUGGGGGAUAACACUUAGAAAUAGGUGCUAAUACCGCAUAAGCGCACAGCUUCGCAUGAAGCAGUGUGAAAAACUCCGGUGCUAUACGAUGGAUCCGCGUCUGAUUAGCUGGUUGGCGGGGUAACGGCCCACCAAGGCGACGAUCAGUAGCCGGCCUGAGAGGGUGAACGGCCACAUUGGGACUGAGACACGGCCCAAACUCCUACGGGAGGCAGCAGUGGGGAAUAUUGCACAAUGGGGGAAACCCUGAUGCAGCGACGCCGCGUGAGUGAAGAAGUAUUUCGGUACGUAAAGCUCUAUCAGCAGGGAAGAAAUUGAGUCCAUUGGACUUUGAACCGCAGGUGACUUACAUGCCCCCGCUAACUACAUGACAUAAGCCGCGGGAGUAAUCAGGAUUUACUGGUUGUCCGGAUAUAGUGGACGGAAAGGCAGCGCAGAAGGGAACUCACGGCUGUAAUGAACUCACAUGCUUUAGACAUGGAGCUGCUGUGGAGCCUGAGCAGCUGGAGUACUUGAUAGGGAAGCGGAGAUCUGAGUGUAUCUUAGAAAUGCCUACAUAGUAGAAGGAGCAUUACUGGAGAGUGCGUGAUACUGAACUGCAACUGAGUGUGAAGCUCAAAAGAGUGGAUAGCCUGCUAGACUACAUCCCCUGCGAUGAUUAGCAUGUGUCGAUGAAUACUAGGCGUCGGGGGACCGAGGACACUCGUUAGCAGCUCCAACUGAUUAGUAAAUCCCCCUGA